This 508-nucleotide ribosomal RNA is filed under the name uncultured bacterium. RNAcentral describes it as "partial 16S ribosomal RNA". The record is from RNAcentral.
GGAGUUAGCCGGUGCUUCUUCUGUGAGUGAUGUCCUUCCUGCCGGCUAUUAACCCGCAGGCCUUCUUCCUCACUGAAAGUGCUUUACAACCCGAAGGCCUUCUUCACACACGCGGCAUGGCUGGAUCAGGGUUGCCCCCAUUGUCCAAUAUUCCCCACUGCUGCCUCCCGUAGGAGUCUGGGCCGUGUCUCAGUCCCAGUGUGGCUGAUCAUCCUCUCAGACCAGCUACGGAUCGUCGCCUUGGUGAGCCGUUACCUCACCAACCAGCUAAUCCGACAUAGGCUCAUCCGAUAGCGCGAGGCCCGAAGGUCCCCCGCUUUCCCCCGUAGGGCGUAUGCGGUAUUAGCCUGGGUUUCCCCAGGGUUAUCCCCCACUACCGGGCAGAUUCCUAUGCAUUACUCACCCGUCCGCCGCUCGCCACCAGGGAGCAAGCUCCCCGUGCUGCCGCUCGACUUGCAUGUGUUAGGCCUGCCGCCAGCGUUCAAUCUGAACCAAGAUCAAACUCUGA